GUGCUACCUAGCUGCCCAUUGAUUCAGCCUACUGAUAAACUGGCCUUCUAGAAGUUCGGUGGACUAAACAUGCCAUCUCCAAUCUCUGUCUGUUUGCACAAUUUGUUUUCCAUGCCUGAAAGGUAUUCCUAACCUUGUCUGUCUUUAAGGAUCAGCUCAGAAGCCACCUCCUUGACAAGGCCAAUCUACUCUGGUCCUGAGGCUUUUAAAGGAUCAAAAUCUAGAAGGAUAAGUUUCCCAGUGUUUUACUUCUUGUCCUGGAAUCAAUUCAUAUUCUAGGAUGCAGGUCCACCCUACAGCCAGGGAUGUACUAGUCCAUUGAACAGGGUUUUACAAAGUGAGCGCCGCCACGUGCCAACACAGCCGAUGCCUGCUAUGCAAUGAGUGGCAACAACUGGAGAGCUUCUUCCCUUCUCUCACUAUUCGGCUGCCCUCCGAGUUACAUGAGUGUCUGGCGCACUCUCCAAGGUGAGACACUCAGUUUAGUAUUUCUUUGUAUGUGAGCAGUUGCUGUGG
Phascolarctos cinereus (koala) is the source of this 516-nucleotide non-coding RNA. The record is from RefSeq and is a predicted model, not a curated record. NCBI's taxonomy places the organism in Eukaryota, Metazoa, Chordata, Mammalia, Diprotodontia, Phascolarctidae.